This is a long non-coding RNA of Tripterygium wilfordii, 532 nucleotides long. RefSeq lists it as uncharacterized. The record is from RefSeq and is a predicted model, not a curated record. Lineage: Eukaryota; Viridiplantae; Streptophyta; Magnoliopsida; Celastrales; Celastraceae. The transcript has 3 exons.
UUUAUUGCUGUUGUUUGACAUAGAUGAUGGAUCAUUCUUUUUAACCAUGAGUUAAUUCUGUUUCAGGCAUUAUGACCCUUCAUUUCAUACUAUGCAUUUGGUUUUGAGGCAUUGCAGCACUUAGAUCAGUCUGUUGGAUCUCUGAUUGCAAUUGUUCGUAUGGUGGUAUGCAGAUCAUCCUGUUGUGUGGCCUCCAUUACUGGAAGCUCUUAUCAAUAUUUGAUUUCCGUUGGGUGGUCAUCAUAUUCUAUAAAGUAUGGAAUGAAAUCCGGCUACAAUAGGCAUUGUGCUUUAUAUGCAGGUAGGGCAUCACUUUUAAAAUUGUAAGCUAAUGAACAUGAAGUCAAGUGGGUGACUUGCAUCAAUAAAAUACUCCUCUAUUUGGCUAUUUGUUUCAACGUGUUAAUGCUUCCUCAUUGGGAAAGAAACUAUACCCCAAAUCAUCAUGUUUCAUCGAAUUAACUAAUAAUACAAGUCAAGAGGUUAACAUGAUUUAUUAAGACUGAAGGUAAUUAUUAACCUCUGAUUGCCU